This 396-nucleotide ribosomal RNA is filed under the name uncultured bacterium. RNAcentral describes it as "partial 16S ribosomal RNA". It matches the Rfam family "Bacterial small subunit ribosomal RNA", at positions 523 to 918 of the family's 1533-position model. The record is from RNAcentral.
AUACGUAGGUGGCAAGCGUUGUCCGGAAUUAUUGAGCGUAAAGCGCAUGUAGGCGGUUUGGUAAGUCGGUCGUGAAAAUGCGGUGCUUAACGCCGUAUGGCGAUUGAAACUGCUGAACUUGAGUGCAGGAGAGGAAAGGGGAACUCCCAGUGUAGCGGUGAAAUGCGUAGAUAUUGGGAAGAACACCGGUGGCGAAGGCGCCUUUCUGGACUGUGUCUGACGCUCAGAUGCGAAAGCCAGGGUAGCGAACGGGAUUAGAUACCCCGGUAGUCCUGGCCGUAAACGAUGGGUACUAGGUGUGGGAGGUAUCGACUCCUUCCGUGCCGGAGUUAACGCAAUAAGUACCCCGCCUGGGGAGUACGGCCGCAAGGCUUAAACUCAAAUGAAUUGACGGGG